ACUCCCCAAAUUCCCAGUACCCUUCAUUACUUUAACAUCCCGGUUGCUUGCUACGCUUGUCUCGAUCGGAUCACCUGCUGCAGUGGGCAGUGGGUUCAAAUUCGUUCGGUUUGGGAUGCUCGUUCUGAUCGCUGCGAUUUCUCCUUAUUUGGUGGUAGUCCUGCGGCAGAAAUUUAGCCACCGUGGCGUUGUAGGAAGGAACUUGGCGAGUUAGUGUUUGUUUCUGAUUGGGCUUGCGGGAGGAAUCAGGUCGAUGCUUCUCUGUCUCGGUUCGAUCCAAACCUCCUGAUUGAAUGGGCAAGGUAUUUAUUUGGAGGAUGCCAACUUGAGAAGAAGAUGACAUUGGUAGCGGGGAGAGCAAUUGAGGACUUGAGGCUGGAAUGGAACUUGAGAAGAAGUAGGGGGGCGUUCGUCCCCAUUUCCAUCUGCAGUUCAAUCAGAGACUGAGCUUUAUGGUUUAAGGCUUUAUGUUCCGGCAUCAUACCAAGGGAAAACAGAUGUGCAUGUGCAAUUUUGGCAUUAUUCCUAGGAAGAGGGAGCAUGUGGCCAAGGCUCUUGCCAGUGGUCCUAGUUUAUUAUAGACGGCAGUUCAGUGUCAAAAAGUUGGCUUCUUAGUGGAAGGAGAAGAAGUGUCAUCUGCCAACAAAUUUUCUCCGGGGAAAAAAAUAAGAAUCAAAACAAAAAAGCAGCUUCGGUAGGACAUCAAGGUGAUUGGUUAACCAAUGCUCGUAUUUCAGCAUCACUGAUCCUAUUUUGCUUCCAGACUUGACUGGAGAAAGAGUUGUCAUGGCACGCCCAAUGGUAGCUUUGGAUCUAUUCUCUUCUGAAAAGGAAACCACAUAGGUGUCAAGGCAUGUUGCUUUGAUCUGAAGCUAUGCGGAUUCAAACAUGGGAACUCCAAAGUAUUUAUUACUUGAGCUUCCUAUUUGGUUGUUAGUAUUUUAACCUCUUCCUUUAUCUAACAAUAUAAGUGAUUAUUGCCUGCUCAUUUUGAUCUAGUUAAAUCUAGCAAUUCAACACUUGGAUGUACAGUAGGUAUCAUGUGUUGGUCAAUGGUGAAAUUUAUUUUGUGAGCUGUUUGUGCAACGGCCUCUAUCUGUGCACCUAGGUAUGUAAUAAUCAAACUAACUUGAAUUGCUAAAAAGCGGUAGCGCAACAAGCAGUUCUUUUUUCCUAACUUCUUCGAAGAAAGUGAACUUUUAAGCUCUCUCUCUCUCUCUCUCUCUCUCUGAAUCUCUAUGUGCAUGCUCACGCGUGCGCGGAAUAUGAAGAGAGCUUUCCUUGGAUGAUUAAUUAUUCAAGAAUUUACAGUUGCCGCAGAAAAAUCUUUCUAUGGUGGGAAAUAAUUUGUGGCCUUCCGAAAACAAGUAGUAAUGCAGGACUCUGAAAAUUCCAUGCAACAUAGCAGUCAAAACUAGAAUAUACUGGAUUUACAGCACCCUCAGAUUCAUGGACCAUGGGUGUACAUUUUAGAGCUGUAAGGAUACCAGAUCUCAUCCGCAUCCUACAAGCGCGGUAAAUAUUAGAUAAGAUAUGAUCCUAGUAACUGAGAUUAUUGGUCAAUAUCAUUUAUAACUAGGCUCAUUCAGGACAAACGUAAUCUAUGUACCAUCCAAAUCACUGCUGAAUACAAUUUGUUAUACAGAAAAGUGUACUCUAUUGUCGGACAUGUACGAUAUUACCUAGUACUCCAUGCUUGUUAAUAAGCAAAACCUUAAACUUUAGUCAGAUGGAAUCUUGAGGCAGUAGUUGUGUUUAAUGUAACAUGGAAACACAACCCGUACUUUUUAUUUUAAAAAAAACAAGAGCAAAUGAAACUGUCCGAGGUUAAACAGAACAGUACAAUUUGAACUGCAGGGAGAGACUAGCUAGCUAACUUCUGAAGAAGCGUAUUCAUGCGAGUUUCUGAGGUUUAAGCAUUUUAAAUUGAAUCUGUCGGAUUCUUUUGUCUCCUAAUUGCCUUGAUCUUUUGUUUCCUAAUUGCCUUGAGAUGUCCAUAUCAAUCUAUUGUGGGAAUCUUGGAUGGACUCUCUCCCUUCAAAGCAUAUGAAAUCUGAUGCUCCAUGAUUGCUUGGGCAUGGAUCACGGUGUCGACAGUGAUAGCCUGAAAGGACGUCCACAGCAGGAGGGAAAGGAUCAAUACUCUUGGAGCUUACCCGUGGUCUGUGGAGGCGUGGAGGAGCUGAUGAAAUACUUGCAGAUGUCAUUUUCAGGAGGUGGAUGUAACAAAUCCCAGCACCGAAAACGUUGUACUGGUACGCGCCCACGCUACCCCAUCCGUGGUGCCCAGCACAGCACCAGCAGCAAUCAGCAACCAGGACCAGGCCAGAGAGGAGAGGGGAGUCUAGCUACUGGAUCCAGCCUCCAAGCCUCAGGGACACCGGCCGGUUGUAGGGGCCACACCUGCGGCCACUCAGAGGCAGCCACACCACAUCCAUGGGGCCCGCGUGGGGAGGACCAACCAUGGGUCGACACGGCCGGACGGGGAUGAAAAGAAGAGAAGAGGAGAAAUUCUUUCCUCUCACUGGAUUCUUUUUUACUUGAAAGGGGAAGACGAGGACGCACGCCUCUCUCUGAUCUCCGGCGACAGUGUCAUGUGGAUGCAUGGUGGUGAGACGAAGUGGCAGACGCUGUGCCCGCUGCCGCAUGCUAUUGGAGGAGAUGGCUGUAUCUGUAUAGGACGAAGCGAAAGGUACUGCGUUACAGUACUGGGGAUGGAUAUGAACGUCCAUCGCAUAGCGACGGCUCCUUUGGUUUGGAAUGAUUUUAUUAAUUCACCGUUAUUAUACCUAGGGGAUACAAUAAAAGUGAAUAGAUGAAGAUGCAACUCCUGUGCAGUGCCAUUAUGCUCCUACAGGUUGACCAGCACCCCUGUUGUGCUUGCUAAUCGAUCGUCCAAUACUCCUAUGUUCUUUGUGGGUAUCUCAUUGAUAACAAUCUAUAAUAUGUUGUUGUGUUAUGACAAAAAUCGUAUUUAUCCCACGAGAUCCUAACGAAAGAGAAAUGACUUAAAUACAUUUUUGAUUGCUGUGUUUCUUAACCACGAUCGUUGAGGAAAUGGCAACAGCAGCCAGCCACAAGCGGAGACAAUCAUCAUCAAUGCUUGGACGUGGGACAGCUGAGGACUGAGGGAAAACAGUCCAAAGAAAAAUCUACUAUGCUGCAAAGGAGACCUGAAAGAAAAGGAGAUGGCGCAUGACAUAUAUGAACUCAACGGUAUCAAAGUGACGAAAUCUCGUCAGGGGUGCUAGCUGCUGUAUUAUCGUACUAACCUUUUUUAAAAUUUUCCUGGGCUAUUGGCGCCUUGUCCUCUCAAUAAUAAAGUAAUAGUAAUCCGUAAGCAAAAGGAGUGCAGUGUUAACUGUUGCUGGUUGGAACUACUACUUGGCAGGUGCAGGGCACUGCCACCAGUAGUACUAGUACUUAACCUCGCGGAGGUUGCAGCGCUGAGAGGCAAGGUACGACUACCUAUCCCAUCCAUCUCCUCUGCUCCAAAAACCAAACAACACCGGAAGGAGAGAGACAAGGAUGUCCAUUUCUCUCAGCACCCCUCGUUUCAAUUCCUGUACGGCGAGUGCUCACCGGAUCCAAGAACAACAAAGCCCCUCUCUUUCUUGUUCUUCCUCUGGAGGGUUGGUUUGGUUUUUCCUCUUCAAUUUCAUGGUUUUUGCAACUUAUGACCUGAUUUCCAAAGGUAUGUGGCUGGUUAUUUGGGGAGUCACUGAAUAAGGCGCUCCUGGAUGUGGAGAGGCUCUUGAGAGAUUGACAGAAGAGAGUGAGCACACGGCGCGACGAACGGCAUAAUAUGUAUGUCGUCCUCGCCGCGUGCUCACUUCUCUUUCUGUCAGCCUCUUCUGUUGAUGGCUUAUCUCCCAUCUAGAUCCGCUAGUCAGGGUAAAACCUUUCAGAGUUUGAUUUGAUUUCAAUUCAAUUAGACAGUUUUGAUGUGGGGUUUUUUUCCUUGUAUCACAAAAAUUUUUGUGUGUCUUACAUGUAUAAGAGAAACUCAUUCACAAGAGACAGAGCACGCAUGCCUCUAUGACUAUGGCUUUUCUCCAACUUUUUUUUUUACACUGCCACUUCCUUAUCUCCUAGAUCUCCACACCCAUGGUUUUUUCCUCUUUUAUUCUGUGGUCUUUUCAGUCAUGCUGGAACUGCUACCGAGGGGGCGAUACGGAUGCUGGUGGUAAUGGAGUAGUACUGGAAGCUAUAGGCCUUCUAGUACCGGAGUAAAUGAUUGGCGCUACUAGUUUUUGCUAUCCCCAAAUUUUCUGUAUCAAUCUCAUCUUGCAGUCCUCUUCGCCUCGCCUUGGGAGCUGAAGCAUGGAGAUGCUGCCAGUACACUGCAACACUGAGAAGCUAUCAACGGAGCAGGCGGGUGGUUGGUCAUGGUGGUGGGGUUGAUCAAGUUCUUGUUGGGUCAAAAAUGGAGCAUGAAGGAGGCAAAGAGAUGAGCCAUAUUUGGCAAGGAAGGUGUCCUCACCUCGCCCCUGCCAGAUAACAAGCUUGCAUCUAGUACAGGAUCGGAGCUUCGAUCACCUAGCAAAUACACCGUUAAGCCAUUAAUAUGCAACACUAUUAAGGUAUUUCUGUGAUCUUUGCUUCCUUUGGUUAGUCACUUGGUGUCUGGUGGUUUUCUUGGUAGUUAUCAGGAACAAAUUGCUGCCACUUUCGGAUGAGUUUGUACUUAUUGCCUAUCUCUUGCGUUUGGAUAAAUCUUUGUUGUUGCCGUGACAUGCAUGCAUGAUAUGCUAUUGCCUAAAAGAUUCAGGGAUAACAAUGUAAAUUCACUUUUUGAUGGAAAACAUACAGCGAGGCUUCACUCUUACAUUAAAAUAAAAGAUGCACUUUCUUUGUAUCCACUGUUUCAUACGCAUACUAGCUAGCUAGAUUAUGUUAACUGAACCCACGAAAGAUAUAUAUACACAUUCAAGAGAAUAUCUCCCCUCUUGAAGAGAGAUAGACGCAAAGCAUCCAUAUAGAAAGAAGUGUUAUAUUUAUCCAUCCGAAAUACCGAAUUACGUUGAGUGAACUACCUAGAAGGCAAAGCUAGAUAAUUUGCGUGGAGAGAAAUGAGUGACACGUAGUAAAAACUAUUCUCUAGUAGGAUCGAGAUGUGAUGUCAUUCAAGGUGAUAGAUGCUUUAGAAAAGUUACUGCUACGACUUACAUGUGUAGUCCCUUACUCCCUUUCCAUAUAGGUGAAUGGUAAACUUUUUUCUCGUUGAUCAUCUGUCAACAUUCUUUUUUUAGUUAUUUGAUUUUAAGAAGUAAAAAUUCAUAAAUUUUAAUCAACAAUAAUUAGUCAAUAUAUAUGCAUAUUUAGAGUAUAAAAAGGAAGAUGUCUUUUAAUAUGACAUCGAUUUUGUAGCAAUUGGCUCUAUAAAUAAUUCAUGUUUAUAUGUAUAUUUUGUUGAGUACACACUUGUCAUAGAACUUUUACCAUGUGUUCCUUUUUUUUUCUUAGAUAUAUCUAUGGGCAAAGCAUAUGAUAGUAUAUUAAUAGUUUGUGCAAUAAGGAAGAUGUGUGCUCCCUUCCACGAAAUAUAUGCAAGCAUAAGAGAGGAACUUGGUCUUAUUCUAACCAGAAAUUUCACGUCAUCUGGAAUUGCCCUUGAAUUUUUUCAUCAUUUUAUUUUAUGUGGUCGUAUGUUCACAUUUCAGUAGUACUCCCUCCUUUUUUUUACAUUUCACAUUAAAUUUGUCUUAAGUCAAAUAUUAGACUUGUCACAUUACAUGAUGUAAAUAAAAAUGGAGGAAGUAUCAUAGAACCUAUUUGUUCUAGCUUUAUUUAAUUCCCUGCAUGAGCUUGCUUUGGUCUGUAUAUCAUCAUUUAAGAUAAUCCAAAAUUUUUUGCCAAAAUGCUUGACAUGUUCAAAAAAAAAUUAUAAUGACAUAUACAUGUUCUUUUUUCCAGUAUCGCCUUUUACUGUUUCUUUUUGGGAUUUAUCUGCACAAAAAGCACAGCAUUUUGAGUGCAUAUUAUAUAUAAAGGCAGGAGUAGUAGAGCGUGUUCCACCUCCCCGCUAACUCUAAUAUAAUCAAGAAACAUGAUAUUAUUAAUGUGAUCAAACAUUUCUGUUACCUACAACCAUAUAUGCUUCUUUCCUGAGCCAUGCAUGCAUCCUCAGCAGUAUAAGAGCAUCUUCAAAAGACUUUGUAUAUUUUUCCUAAAUGCUAGGAAUAGUAAUUUUGGUGAAAAACUACCCUCCAACAGCUUCUCUAAAUGGUCAUCCAAAUAUAGCCAUUGUCUAUUCCGUGUUUUUCGCUAGCCAAAUAUAGAAGACGAGAAUGACUCUCUAGAAUGCGCAUGAGAUUUAGCAAAACUGUUGGAAAGUAAAAAAAAAUAUAUAGAAAGCGAUUUUUAUGCAAAUGACUCUCCAAAUGAUAAUUUAGAGAGUAAAAUUUAGAAAGACUCUUGGAGAUGCUCUAAGCUGUCCGUUGUUUACCAAGCCAUGUAACUGCAUGAACGUACAAGUGGAGCCGCAGGAUUGUGUGCGCUCUCGUUAGCUAAAUACCAUGUUAUUACAAUGUUAUAAAAAUCAUUCAUCUCAGCGUCAAAGAUGAAUUUCAAUCUGAAUUGUUGUGGCUACGCUUCACUUUAGGUGUACUGCAUACAUGAUUUUUGUCAUGAUUUUUGAAACAUUGUAGCAUGGUAUUUUGGCUAAUGAGGGUGCCAAUGAUUUUCCUUAAUGUAACGCUCCUUCGGUCAAAAAGAAUGCAAUUCUAUGUUUGGGAGGAAUUAAACUUUCUUAAGUUUCAUUAAAUUUAUAGAAAAUAAUAACAACAUUUAUGUCAAUGCCUACAGAUAAAUUUGCUCAUAAUUAACAUAAUGAUACUUACUCCCUCUAUUCACAGAAGGAUGCAAUUCUCACUUUUCAAAGAGUUGAACUAUUUGAAGUUUGACCAAAGUUAUAUAAAAGGUACUAACAUUUAUGAAAACUCUAAACACUUAUUUUUCUUUUUAAAAGGUUCUACAAGAUUAGUACUCAUAAAUUAAUUAUGAAGUAUAUCUUCGUAGUAAACCUAGUUAGAGACUUAAAUGUUAAUUAUAUUCAAUGUGAACUUACACAAAUCCCAAGUUUAUAGUUAAGCUAGUUAAUUUUACUUUGCACAAAUACCUUUUGUAUGGAGGAAGCAUAUCAUAAAUGUUUGUAUUUUUUCAUAUAGAUUUGGUUAAAUUUGAAAUCAUUUGAUUCCUCGAGAAGUGAAAAUUAUAUUCUUUUUAAGAUGGAUGAAAUAUUUGAUAAUAUCAUGUAAACAACUAUUAUUUUUAAGAAGUGGCACUUCUUGCGCAUCGAAGGUGUGACCUUAACUUGGUCAAGAGACAAAUCACUCUAAUGAUCUGCUUAGUGUGAUUCAUCGAUCUCUUGAGACAGGCCAAGUUAUUUAAGGAAGAUUUUUUUAAUUCCACACAUGUUAUUAUUAUUUAAGUUAUAGAUUAAAUUUAAAGAGUCUAAUUAAGUAAAAAUUUUGUGAAUCAACUUGCAUGAUUAUAUUAUUUGUGCUACCAAAUAAUCAUAAAUAUAAACAUUGUUUGGUAUGGAGUAUUGGGUGUACAAAGUGUUCUUAAAGGAUUUUUUCAAAGUGUUCUUAGAGGGAUGGCUUAUUAAUUAACACACAAUUCAUACUACGAGUUAUAUGCUCUAGGAAGUCUAUUAAGCCCACGUGUUCUGGUUAUAUAUUAUAACGAACUCCCCCUCUUUUACCCAACAUAUCUCUAGGACAUGCUUCUCUUAGGGAAGAGAUGGACUAUGUUAUCUAUAUAUCAUUGUUAUAUUUGUCUCACAUCUACAUAUAUUUCACUGAUGCUGCUACAUCAUGAGAAAUAGCUAAGUGACGUUGUUAUGCAUGCUCCUAUAGCUAUGAGUAAAUCACCGAGGGCAUAUAAUAUGCCCAAUUUAUCCCAAUUGCUUGUCAUCUCUUAAUGUGCUAUCACUUUAUGCAUGAAAAUAUUUGAGUUCAACUAGCUGGAUGUCGUUUGGCUGAUAAGCCAUGACAGAAAGUACUGUUGGCUGAUUUGUUGUGAGAGAAAAAUACUGCUGAAUGGCUGGCAGAUUCGGUUGAUAAACUUAAACGAAUCCGUUCCUCUAGAACAGAAAUACUUCUACACCUCUCCCAUUCAAUAAAAAAGAUUAUAAUGACACUAUCUUAGCUUUAAUAUGAUCAUAUUUUUAUAUAAUUUAAUAUGGCCAUAUAAAAACUAAACAUGUAGGCUUUAUUAAUGCUAUUGUUUCACACAUAUAAUACACAGCUAUAUUUGUUGUUACAUCCAAUGUGAUAUUUAAUUUUUGUUUGUGAAAUGAGUAUCUGUUCUUGGUACAUAUAUCCCUUUUCAUAAUUCCUGAUGUGAGAGAUACUCUACCACAUCUAUGUCAUGAUAACCGCAGCACAUAUGCAUGAUUUAUGUUUUUCUUAGAGAGAAUGUUUGUGAGAAACAAUUAAAAAGAUAUAAGAAAGUUCCACUCUAGCGGGCCUCUUUAAGAGUGUGACAAGAUUGGGGUACUGUUGAAUAUUUAUUGUCCAUCCAUGCAUGGUUUAUGGUUUUCGUAACUUCUAUUGAUGGAAUAAAAAAAAAUCUGAGCCUCUAGAUCCUGAUUAUAGGCUAGUCUUCGUGGGAUUUUAUUCUCAUUAGUUGAGAUGUCAUAUAAGCAAGUUUGAUGAUAUGCUAAAGUUAUGAAGAGAGAUAGGAAGAGUUUCAUCUAGAUAUAGACUUGGUGUACACUCUUGGCACUUUUUCACAUUUAUGAUAUAUCUCAUGUGGGGACUCUAGCCCUGAACAUGGUGUUUAACCUGCAAGGCUCUGGAAUUUGUACCGAUCAUAUAGUUCACACAUCUUUGUCGGCAAGUUACUUCUAGUCCUUUGGGCCCACUAGAUCUUUACCAAGCUCAUAUACUUGUAUGCAGGGGGUGUUGUUUCAAAUUCACGGCCUCCUUGGCCCAACUCCCAUAACAUGAACUCUUCAAAGAUUGUUAGGUCGACAUCGGUCCUAAAAUGAGCCAUUUUCUGAUAGCCCUUUUUGACUUCCUCCUCGUCUGUCACACCUUCAAUAUCAACAAUCUUCCGUUUUGCUUGGAGCACCACAUGUUUGUUCUUGUAAGCAUUGUCCUUUGCAUAGAAGAUUGUUCUUUUGCAAGAACUAAUGUUGUCUCUGUACACAAUGUUUUUGAGAUCAUGAUAGUCAUACCAUCCCGGUCAGUGAAGAUCUUCAGGAGUCGUACAAAGAAAAGGCACCUUUAAUGCACUGUAGUUUAGCUCCCAGAUCUCUUCUAUAAGAUCAUAAUACAUCUCCACUCGUCAUAUACAUCAAAACGGACAACUGUUUUGGUUUACU
Sorghum bicolor (sorghum) is the source of this 9334-nucleotide long non-coding RNA. RefSeq lists it as uncharacterized. Lineage: Eukaryota; Viridiplantae; Streptophyta; Magnoliopsida; Poales; Poaceae. The transcript is spliced from 12 exons. The record is from RefSeq and is a predicted model, not a curated record.